RNAcentral lists this ribosomal RNA (676 nucleotides) under uncultured bacterium. RNAcentral describes it as "bacterial SSU rRNA". It matches the Rfam family "Bacterial small subunit ribosomal RNA", at positions 8 to 694 of the family's 1533-position model. The record is from RNAcentral.
AGAGUUUGAUCCUGGCUCAGGACGAACGCUGGCGGUGUGCUUCACACAUGCAAGUCGAGCGAAUGAAGAAGGUAGCUUGCUACUUUUGGAUUUAGCGGCGGACGGGUGAGUAAUAUAUAGGAAUCUGCCCUAGAGCGGGGAACAACAGACCGAAAGGUUUGCUAAUGCCCCAUAGGUACGCAGUCUUCGGAUUGUUUAUUAAAGGAGUAAUCCACUCUAGGAUGAGCCUGUAUCCGAUUAGCUAGUUGGCGGGGUAAAGGCCCACCAAGGCUACGAUCGGUAGUUGGUCUGAGAGGAUGAUCAGCCACAAUGGGACUGAGACACGGCCCAUACUCCUACGGGAGGCAGCAGUGGGGAAUUUUACACAAUGGGGGAAACCCUGAUGUAGCGACACCGCGUGAACGAAGAAGCCUUUUGGGGUGUAAAGUUCUGUCGGCUGGAACGAAAAAAAUGACGGUACCAGCAAAGGAAGCAUCGGCUAACUACGUGCCAGCAGCCGCGGUAAGACGUAGGAUGCAAGCGUUGUCCGGAUUUAUUGGGCGUAAAGAGUUCGUAGGCGGUUAUUUAAGUCUGGUGUUAAAUACUGUGGCCCAACCACAGAACUGCAUUGGAUACUGGAUGACUUGAGUGCGGUAGAGGCAAGUGGAAUUCCCAGUGUAGCGGUGAAAUGCGUAGA